CCACAUUGGAACUGAGACACGGUCCAAACUCCUACGGGAGGCAGCAGUGAGGAAUAUUGGUCAAUGGACGAGAGUCUGAACCAGCCAAGUAGCGUGAAGGAUGACUGCCCUAUGGGUUGUAAACUUCUUUUAUAUGGGAAUAAAGUGAGCCACGUGUGGCUUUUUGUAUGUACCAUACGAAUAAGGAUCGGCUAACUCCGUGCCAGCAGCCGCGGUAAUACGGAGGAUCCGAGCGUUAUCCGGAUUUAUCGGGUUUAAAGGGAGCGUAGGCGGAUUAUUAAGUCAGUUGUGAAAGUUUGCGGCUCAACCGUAAAAUUGCAGUUGAUACUGGUAGUCUUGAGUGCAGCAGAGGUAGGCGGAAUUCGUGGUGUAGCGGUGAAAUGCUUAGAUAUCACGAAGAACUCCGAUUGCGAAGGCAGCUUACUGGACUGUAACUGACGCUGAUGCUCGAAAGUGUGGGUA
RNAcentral lists this ribosomal RNA (462 nucleotides) under uncultured bacterium. RNAcentral describes it as "bacterial SSU rRNA". It matches the Rfam family "Bacterial small subunit ribosomal RNA", at positions 308 to 767 of the family's 1533-position model. The record is from RNAcentral.